Molecule: long non-coding RNA, 1790 nt
Filed under: Sus scrofa (pig)
Lineage: Eukaryota; Metazoa; Chordata; Mammalia; Artiodactyla; Suidae
Description: lncRNA (ENSSSCG00030005433.1)
Source: RNAcentral
AUGAUUUUUAAAGAUCUAUUUCUAUACAUAACUAAAACAACUUUUAUAACCUGUAAAAUAAGUUUUUUUCCUUCUAGCACCGCAGUUGACCUCAGUGAAAAACCCAGUAUUUCUCUGGAAGAAGACGGGAACAAGGCGAGCGCCUUCUCAAAAUAUCCUGAAAAGCAGGAUCAAUUUCUGAGGAAAAGGACCAACUAUGCGACAGGCACUGAGGGUGCACUGGCAUCUAAACAUCUGGGGAAUGCAGUCCCUCACCCUGGAGAUGCCCAGCUGCCGUGGGCGAGGCGAAGGGAGGGGCAGGCCUUGAGCAGAGCUGGCCCUGGAAGAGGUGCCGGGAGACCCGCACGGGAGGAGACCUGAGAGCUGAGUUUUGAAGAUUGAGGGAGAAGCCGGGGUUUCCUGAAACCUCAAGAUAGGUCUGGGGUUUCAGACUUGGCGACCUCCUGAAUCAUGACGCCGUUAACCAAGACAGGGAAGGAACAAAGGAGGGCUCCUUUCUGGAAGAAGAUGAGGAGUUCAGAUUUGGCAUUCCUGCUUGAUUCUCCUGCCUUGGUUUUGAUCCCAGGGCGGCGUGGUUGACGGGAACUGGCUUUCACUUCAAGCCGGAUUCAUGGCAUCCUGGCCCUACCAUAUGCGCUAAUGACGUUAAAAUGGACACAUUUCUUACACCCUCGUUUGUAAAUAGGAAUUGAUGAUGCAUACUUCUUAAAGGGUAAGGUUUAAACUGUAACGUAGUAACUAAAUUUGUAAUCCUUUUAGCAAUAUUUCCCGACCUCCCUGAGCACAGUCUGAACCCAAACUGAAUCCACUUUGUUGCUUCAAGUCUUUUUUAAAUUUAGUGAAUGUGUUUUUUCCUGUGAUUUUGUAAUUGAACUAUAGUGGAUUUACAUUUCAGGUGUACAGCAAAGUGAUUCGGUUGUGAUAUACGUAACUGCCGAUUCUUUUCCAUUAUUGGAAAGAGGUGGGGAUGCUACCACCAGAUAGUGAAUGCAGUUCUGUGCUGUAGAAUCGGGCUUUGUUAGUUAUCUAAUUUGUUUAUAGUGUGUGUCUGCUCACCCCAAUCUCCUAAUUUAUCCUGCCCCCACCCUUUCCCCUUUGGUAACCAUACUUUUGUUUUCUCAGUCCGUGAGUCUCUGUUUCAUAUAUAACUUCAUUUGUAUCAUUUUUUUAGAUUCCACAUAUGAGUGAGAUCAUGUGAUACUUGUCUUCAUCUGAUGUAGGUAUAUUCUUUGGAAUAUAAGCUCUAGGUCCAUCCAUGUUGCAUUAUUUCACCCCUUUUGCCACUGAGGGUGAACUUUCUUCUAUUGCCUAUAACCCAUUCCUCACGCUAUGCGGGCUGAUCUCCUAGUGCCCCCCCUUUUACCUGGAGCUGACUCCCCUUAUUCUCACCACACUUUGUAGCCAGUGUUGAGAAGCAUGCCCCAGCUCCCUGCUGUCUUUAAGCCUCAGGGGAGGGGAUGGGUAAAACCAAGGAUGCAGGAAUCUCCGCAGUUCACAUCUGUAUCAUCUGCUGGGACCACACCUCGCCGAUGCAUUUUGCGCGUUUACAGUCAGGCGCGAACGUCCUUGGUUCUUCAAUCCCCGGCCUCCGUGGGGAGGGAUGUCCUCCCACAGUCCCGGGGCCAAGUCAGGAUACAGAGGGAUGUCAUUCUGCCGGACUGCUCACACGCACAACGUGACAGCUGUUGUAUGACAAGCUGAAGUGGGAGCGUCACAAGCUGGGAAGGAAGAGGAAAUGCUUUCCGGAUUCACUGAAGCACAACUUGAAUAAACACAGAAAGCUGGAGACA